This 587-nucleotide ribosomal RNA is filed under the name uncultured bacterium. RNAcentral describes it as "bacterial SSU rRNA". It matches the Rfam family "Bacterial small subunit ribosomal RNA", at positions 338 to 916 of the family's 1533-position model. The record is from RNAcentral.
CCUACGGGAGGCAGCAGUGGGGAAUUUUGGACAAUGGGCGCAAGCCUGAUCCAGCCAUGCCGCGUGUGUGAAGAAGGCCUUCGGGUUGUAAAGCACUUUCGGCCGGAACGAAAUCGCCUACGUUAAUAGCGGAGGUGGAUGACGGUACCGGAAGAAGAAGCACCGGCUAACUACGUGCCAGCAGCCGCGGUAAUACGUAGGGUGCGAGCGUUAAUCGGAAUUACUGGGCGUAAAGGGUGCGCAGGCGGCGUCGCAAGUCAGGCGUGAAAUCCCCGGGCUUAACCUGGGAAUGGCACUUGAAACUACGAUGCUGGAGUAUGGCAGAGGGAGGUGGAAUUCCACGUGUAGCGGUGAAAUGCGUAGAGAUGUGGAGGAACACCGAUGGCGAAGGCAGCCUCCUGGGCCAAUACUGACGCUCAUGCACGAAAGCGUGGGGAGCAAACAGGAUUAGAUACCCUGGUAGUCCACGCCCUAAACGAUGAUGACUAGUUGUUGGGGGAGUUAAAUCCUUUAGUAACGCAGCUAACGCGAGAAGUCAUCCGCCUGGGGAGUACGGUCGCAAGAUUAAAACUCAAAGGAAUUGACGG